GACGAACGCUGGCGGCGUGCUUAACACAUGCAAGUCGAACGGAAAGGCCCUGCUUGCAGGGUACUCGAGUGGCGAACGGGUGAGUAACACGUGGGUGAUCUGCCCUGCACUUCGGGAUAAGCCUGGGAAACUGGGUCUAAUACCGGAUAGGAGCCAUUUUUAGUGUGAUGGUUGGAAAGUUUUUUCGGUGUAGGAUGAGCUCGCGGCCUAUCGGCUUGUUGGUGGGGUAAUGGCCUACCAAGGCGGCGACGGGUAGCCGGCCUGAGAGGGUGGACGGCCACACUGGGACUGAGAUACGGCCCAGACUCCUACGGGAGGCAGCAGUGGGGAAUAUUGAACAAUGGGCGCAAGCCUGAUGCAGCGACGCCGCGUGGGGGAUGACGGCCUUCGGGUUGUAAACUACUUUCGCUAGGGACGAAGCUUUUUGUGACGGUACCUAAAGAAGAAGCACCGGCUAACUACGUG
RNAcentral lists this ribosomal RNA (465 nucleotides) under uncultured bacterium. RNAcentral describes it as "partial 16S ribosomal RNA". It matches the Rfam family "Bacterial small subunit ribosomal RNA", at positions 28 to 507 of the family's 1533-position model. The record is from RNAcentral.